This 1001-nucleotide ribosomal RNA is filed under the name Ophiocordyceps sp. Its description in RNAcentral is "SSU rRNA". It matches the Rfam family "Eukaryotic small subunit ribosomal RNA", at positions 90 to 1102 of the family's 1831-position model. Lineage: Eukaryota; Fungi; Ascomycota; Sordariomycetes; Hypocreales; Ophiocordycipitaceae. The record is from RNAcentral.
CGAAUGGCUCAUUAUAUAAGUUAUCGUUUAUUUGAUAGUGCCUUACUACUUGGAUAACCGUGGUAAUUCUAGAGCUAAUACAUGCUAAAAGACCCGACUUUGGAAGGGUUGUAUUUAUUAGAUUAAAAACCAAUGCCCUCUGGGCUCACUGGUGAAUCAUGAUAACUUCGCGAAUCGCAUGGCCUUGUGCCGGCGAUGGCUCAUUCAAAUUUCUUCCCUAUCAACUUUCGAUGUUUGGGUAGUGGCCAAACAUGGUUGCAACGGGUAACGGAGGGUUAGGGCUCGACCCCGGAGAAGGAGCCUGAGAAACGGCUACUACAUCCAAGGAAGGCAGCAGGCGCGCAAAUUACCCAAUCCCGAUUCGGGGAGGUAGUGACAAUAAAUACUGAUACAGGGCUCUUUUGGGUCUUGUAAUUGGAAUGAGUACAAUUUAAAUCCCUUAACGAGGAACAAUUAGAGGGCAAGUCUGGUGCCAGCAGCCGCGGUAAUUCCAGCUCUAAUAGCGUAUAUUAAAGUUGUUGUGGUUAAAAAGCUCGUAGUUGAACCUUGGGCCUGGCUGGCGGGUCCGCCUCACCGCGUGUACUUCGCCGGCCGGGCCUUUCCCUCUGUGGAACCCUAUGCCCUUCACUGGGUGUGGUGGGGAAACAGGACUUUUACUUUGAAAAAAUUAGAGUGCUCCAGGCAGGCCUAUGCUCGAAUAUAUUAGCAUGGAAUAAUAAAAUAGGACGUGUGGUUCUAUUUUGUUGGUUUCUAGGACCGCCGUAAUGAUUAAUAGGGACAGCCGGGGGCAUCAGUAUUCAAUUGUCAGAGGUGAAAUUCUUGGAUUUAUUGAAGACUAACUACUGCGAAAGCAUUUGCCAAGAAUGUUUUCAUUAAUCAGGAACGAAAGUUAGGGGAUCGAAGACGAUCAGAUACCGUCGUAGUCUUAACCAUAAACUAUGCCGACUAGGGAUCGGACGAUGUUAUUACUUGACUCGUUCGGCACCUUACGAGAAAUCAAA